GCAAGGUUAAAACUCAAAUGAAUUGACGGGGGCCCGCACAAGCGGUGGAGCAUGUGGUUUAAUUCGAUGCAACGCGAAGAACCUUACCUGGUCUUGACAUCCACGGAAGGUCUCAGAGAUGAGACUGUGCCUUCGGGAGCCGUGAGACAGGUGCUGCAUGGCUGUCGUCAGCUCGUGUUGUGAAAUGUUGGGUUAAGUCCCGCAACGAGCGCAACCCUUAUCCUUUGUUGCCAGCGGUCCGGCCGGGAACUCAAAGGAGACUGCCAGUGAUAAACUGGAGGAAGGUGGGGAUGACGUCAAGUCAUCAUGGCCCUUACGACCAGGGCUACACACGUGCUACAAUGGCGCAUACAAAGAGAAGCGACCUCGCGAGAGCAAGCGGACCUCAUAAAGUGCGUCGUAGUCCGGAUUGGAGUCUGCAACUCGACUCCAUGAAGUCGGAAUCGCUAGUAAUCGUGGAUCAGAAUGCCACGGUGAAUACGUUCCCGGGCCUUGUACACACCGCCCGUCACACCAUGGGAGUGGGUUGCAAAAGAAGUAGGUAGCUUAACCUUCGGGAGGGCGCUUACCACUUUGUGAUUCAUGACUGGGGUGAAGUCGUAACAAGGUAACCGUAGGGGAACCUGC
Molecule: ribosomal RNA, 627 nt
Filed under: Salmonella enterica subsp. houtenae
Lineage: Bacteria; Pseudomonadati; Pseudomonadota; Gammaproteobacteria; Enterobacterales; Enterobacteriaceae
Description: bacterial SSU rRNA
Rfam family: Bacterial small subunit ribosomal RNA
Source: RNAcentral